AGUUGUAAUUUGAAGAUUGCGUCUUGGAGGCGACCGUGUCUACUGUUCCUUGGUAACAGGACGUCGACAGAGGGUGAGAAUCCCGUGCGGCACGGCCCCCGGCUCCUUAUAAGGCGCUCUCGACGAGUCGAGUUGUUUGGGAAUGCAGCUCAAAGUGGGUGGUAAAUUCCAUCUAAAGCUAAAUACAGGCGAGAGACCGAUAGCGAACAAGUACAGUGAUGGAAAGAUGAAAAGCACUUUGAAAAGAGAGUGAAACAGCACGUGAAAUUGUUGAAAGGGAAGGGCAUGCCGUCAGAUUGUCAGUGUGGGUAAGAAGCGGGGUACAAAGACUGUGGAACGUGGCCCUCGGGUGUUAUAGCCGCAGUUCAUGCCCCGUCUCUUUCCGAGGCCUGCUUUGAGGACACCGACGUAAUGACGGUACGCCGCCCGUCUUGAAA
Molecule: ribosomal RNA, 437 nt
Filed under: Kodamaea ohmeri
Lineage: Eukaryota; Fungi; Ascomycota; Pichiomycetes; Serinales; Debaryomycetaceae
Description: eukaryotic LSU rRNA
Rfam family: Eukaryotic large subunit ribosomal RNA
Source: RNAcentral